GGGGAAGUCUGGGUGAAUCAGGCUGGAGAAAUCAGCUAGGAAAGGGGUAGAAAGAGCAGAUAUGGGGCUUUCAUUACUGGCUCCCUGGAAAUAGGGAGACAGAGUGAAAACAGGAACAGGAAUUUCCUUGGGAGUCUGACUGUCAGAGUCCCCUGGGAGGAGUGGCAAUGGAAACCUGCUGUUGAAAAAGGGGCCUCCAGGGAGAAACCCCUUUGUGGUAGUGCUCAAUAAAGAGAACACAGAAUAUUCCUGAGGAAGCCCGAAAACAGGACCAACUGAGAGGUGUUUGGCUGGCUGGUACAUGCUCAGGGUCUAACUGAUGGCCAUAUGUGGAUCAGGAAGGAAUUUCUACCCAGCUCACACUGGAAGUUACCUUAGAGGUGAUCAAGUCUGCCACAUGUAAUAUCAGCUUCAACAUCUGAUGUUAUGACAUCCUGAUGGAUUCCAAGAGGAACUGCUGGAAUCCACUGACAAAUCAAGCCAUACUGGAAGUUGGCAGUGUUUGUGCUAGUCUCAGUCAAAUAUUCCAGAGGGGCACAAGGAAGAAAAUAUCUGUGUAAAAAAGGCAGCUCAAGAAGGGGGGAGAGAAGGGAAAACCAUAUUAAACUACUACAAUGUGCACACUUUAAAUUAUUUCCCUCUCUACCCUCUGCUCCUUCUUUUGACAGUUUUGCUGUAUUUGUUUUUCAAUCUGCUCACUCUCUGCUUUCAUUUCACCUUAUUUUUAAUCCCAUUCUCUCUGGCCCCCUCAGCUUCUUUUUACAUAACCUUUCACAAAGAGAUUGCAAAUCAAAAAAUGUUUGAGUUGAACUCUCAAACCCAUGAUGUGAAGAGUGGAUUUGAAAUUUCAGGCUAUCUGGCCAUAGGGCCCAAUUCUGCUCCAAUGACAUCAACAUACAAAUCUAUUGACUUAGGAGCAGGAAUGGGCUCCUAGUAAGGUCACUAAGCCACUCUAGGAUGUAUGUUCCCAUAUAUCCCAAGUCUCGGGGAAAAAAGACAAUGAUUGUGUCCCAGAAAGGAUAAACUUAUCCUCUUAUCCAGAGAACAAGUGCAGAUUAGACCAGUUAGCCAAUCCUUGCUACAAUUUCUGACUGAUCUGUUUGGUUUGGCCUCACAGCCAGAGGAAAGUUAUCAAUGUAAACAAACAACAACCAAACAGGACUGAAAGAAGAAAAGAAAAUAGAAGGAAAAAUCAAUCAAACUGAAAUGGUGGGGGGAGGGAAGUAAGAGAUCCUUUGUUCUCAGUUCUGUGGGUGCAGGUAUAGUUAUUAGAAGAUAAUCCCCACUUGUUCUCUUCUUUGACAGCUUGAUAUGUGUGAGGAUUUAGACUGUAGAGAAUGAAAAUGUCACACUUAUACCUUAAGGCUUGUUCUCAUGUGGCUGAGUUUGAUGUGAUUUGAUGGCUCACAAGGCUGGUUUAGAAUGAUUGUAGGCAUGUUCAAUACCUGACCUUCUGAGGACUUGCUGGUGGCCUGAGAGCACAAAGCAUACUGUAUAACAUUCUCCCCUCUCCAGUGCUGACAUUUGUCACCUUGGCACUUUUUGGAAAAACAAAACUAACUCAGAGCCUUAAAAGGCAUUUCUUUGCAAACUAUUUUGACACAUAGAUAUGAAAUAUUUAUAUGAAGAAAAGAAUAGAGCUUUAAUUUUAAAAAAGUAAAACACUGUUUAUUUAGAAAACAUUUACUAAAGUAAAAGUGGCCAUUUGUUGUAACUUGUAUACUACAUGGUUAGCAUAUUAACAUUGACUUUAUGAUAUGGAGUAAGCAAAUUGUUUCUGUAAGGCUUAAAUAUACAAUAGACCUUUCGUAUCAGAAAGUAGUUCCUUCUAGGAUAAUGUACAGCUAUCAUGGAUUUGCCAGUUCUAGUCUACUUGACUUAAGUGUUUCAUACACACAACUGUUAGAAAAAAAUCCCUUAGUCUAGUGAACAAUUGGCUUUGUGUUAUUAUAUUUUUAUAUAUAUAUUUAAUAUUUGUUAUAUUUGAGUAUAAAAUAUAAUCCACCUGAAUUUGCAGCUUAUUCAUAUCAGCUUCCGAAUACAAAACAUGAUCCCAAUCCUACCAUCAUUUAUACAUAUGCUUAAUGUUAUGCAUUUGAUCAGUUCCACUGAAACCUUGAGAGGAAAGAUAAGCACAUGCAAAGUAGUUGUAGGAUGGGGAGCCUAACAUGAAUCAGUCCCAGUAUUUCUAGAGCAAAUGCAAAAUUCCUAAAUGAUGGACACUUUCAUGGUAUUUUUAGUACAAAUAUGUUUGAGAUAUUGUGUGAAAGGCAGCCUCAGAGAAUUUUGUGUCUCAAAACAUUUCUGACACAGAUCAUUCUGUUCCAUUAGGUAGAGGAGGCUGCAGGGGAAAAGUGCCUCUGAAACAGGAGAAAACGAAAGGAAAACAAGGUGGGACAAAUCAGAUUUGUUAUGUUCAGCAAAUUGUCCGGAAGCAGGCCAUCUACUGCUUGCCAUCACCACUGGAAUAAGAUGUAAAACAUUUUAAUCUAUAGCAGUGCUUCAAGCCUUUACAGUGGUCUGAAUUAAAAAGCUAACAUUUACUAACACCGUUAACAGUUAUUUCCCAUUGUAAGGAUCGUGCCAGUGUGAAACUGUGAUUACUAUUUAAUUGCAACCAUUGUACUUGAACGAGUAAGGGAUGUCUAUAAAAUGUGGGCCAAAUUUAUCGUUUGGAGCAAAUAGGUCUUGUGAGUCUACUGCUCAUUUCUCCGCUUAACACAUUACCUAGCUAGAAAAAACUAGCUUUACUGGAGAUGAUAAUUUUAAUAUUUUGGAUAAGACUUCUUUUUGAUAGCACAAGAUAAUUUUGACUCAGUAGAGUUCACAAGUCUUAUCUACAUCUUUGGUGUAUUAGAACCUUCUUGGCAGUUGCAUAUAUCUGAAAAAUUUCCCCUUAGGCAGCACAAGUUGCCUUCAGCCUGGCUAAUGUACCUAGAAUGACAUACCAUGCUGCAGAGUGUAAUACUUCCACUCAGCAAUGGAAGGGAAGUGGCCAAAAGUUGUUACCAUCUGAAGGCUAACAGAUUUGAAACAUUUUGUAGCUCCAGUCCAUAUCUUAGAGGACAGAGGUCAACAAAACAAAUGGUCACCGUUGCUAGAUUUCAUUUAGAAAUGUAUGCAAAUUCUAAUUUUUUGGCUCUCAUUGUAUUGUUGGGGUCAAUGCUUUCUGGAACCAGCAAGUUCACGACUUAGAAAACAAGCUUCAGACAAAGAACUACUCCCGAUAUCACUCAACAUCUGUUUUUUUUAAAUGAUGAAACAAAUUUAGUAUAUUAUUUCCAAUCCAACAGUUUCCAGUCACUAAAUUUAGAUGACUCCUGCUCAACAAGUUUAAUAGUCUUAUUCCCAUUCGUAUAAGGUGAGAUGGAACUCUGAGAAUUUUGUUAAAAAAUAGAAUUUUCUAAAAUAUUUUAAAUUGUCCAACAAAACUUUCAGCUCAGUGGAGUCUGGCCCAGCUGUACUUUGAAAACUAGGCCUUUUGUUUAGUUGUCUAAAUAUGAAUGUAGGGGGUUAAUCUUAGGCACUCAAGCUUUGAAAAAUUUGCCCCAGUUAACUUUAAAAUUACUACUUUUUUCCUUUGUCUUCUCAUAGAUUAUGUAGAUGUUUCACAUUAUUUCCUAAAACUUGUAAUUCAUGUAAAACAAAACAUCUUAAUAUCCUACAGCAAGUCUUUUUGUUAUUUGGCAAUGUAUUUGGUUAAGCUGUACAAAGUUUGUCAUGAUGCUACUGGAAAUAACAACUAAGAAAAUAUUGAACUUACUCCUGUAAAUACUUCACAAAAUACUGAGUCUUUAGCUACAGAGAUACAUGAACUAUGUUAAUUUUCCUGGCAGGCUCAAUAGAGAGGCCACAGCCUUGAUCCUGCAACCACUUAAAAAUAUGUGCAACUUUACUUAUAAGACUAAUCCUUUGGAAGCCAAAUGGAUCAUUCAUGCGAGCAAAGGUUGCAUGUGAUUACAUGUUUGCAGUACCAUGGCCUAAAAAAUUUAGUGGGCAUAGAUGCUCUGUUAUCAAUAUACUUCAACAGGUGUUUCCUCCCCUCCCAGCCCUCUCAACUACAUCCUAGUCAGCACAGCAUGUAAGUAUUUAAAUUAGCACACACUUAAAUUCCCUGCUAAAUAAGUAAGGCAACAAGGUGGAUGAAGUAGUAUCUUUUAUUGGACCAACUUCUUCUGAAAGCUUGCUCCUCUCACCAACAGAAAUUGGUCUAAUAAAAGAUAUUACCUCGCCCAGAGUGUGUCUCUAAUAUCCUAGGUCUGGCAUGGCUACAACUACACUGCAUGAAAACUAGUAAGGCAGCACACUGGCAGGGCAGCAUGAAGAAAAUUUUACUAUUAAGGCCUGUACUGCAAAUGUUCUAUGGAUGAAAAGGAAUGUCAGGAUCAUCAGACUAAUGUAUUUCAUGAAAACUAAAUCUGAGCGCAUGAAAUUCAUUCAAUCUUUUUUUUUAAAUUAAUAUACCAAAAGCAGUAGUUCUUAGGUGAAAUAAUAUGUUUGGCUACCACUGUGUGGCUGAUUCUGCAUACCACUACUGAAAGCAGCAAUGAGGAAACAUCUUCAGGAGUAUUGUAAAAAUAUGGCCUUAUCUGGUAUUUGAUGUACAUUUUGUAUUUCCAGAAUACCUAUAGGCAUCUAGAUGGCUUAAAUAUGUCAAUGCCCAACCAUCACCAGUAUUGAAACAGUUAGUCUUCCAAUUAUCCUCCCAAUUCUGACAGUUUCUUCUAAUCUACUGAUCUCCACUGAAAUAAUUGCUUAUAGAAAAUGAAGAGCAUUUAGCAUCUCAAAGUUAUUUAAAAUAUCUUGUAAAGACUGGCAUUAAUGUAACAGAUGAUUACUACAAAUUCUGACUUAAUAAUAGCCUGUCUGGCUACUGGAGGCAAAACAGUAUCUACACAGAACUCUGGGUG
Dermochelys coriacea (leatherback sea turtle) is the source of this 4910-nucleotide long non-coding RNA. RefSeq lists it as uncharacterized. NCBI's taxonomy places the organism in Eukaryota, Metazoa, Chordata, Testudines, Dermochelyidae. The record is from RefSeq and is a predicted model, not a curated record. The transcript is spliced from 3 exons.